UCUUCCUUGGUCUAGUGGUCAUGAUUUCCGCUUGUCAUUCCAACAAGCGCGGGAGACCGGGGUUCGAUUCCCCGAGGGAGAG
This is a transfer RNA of Clohesyomyces aquaticus, 82 nucleotides long. It matches the Rfam family "tRNA". From Rfam's summary of the family: Transfer RNA (tRNA) molecules are approximately 80 nucleotides in length. Their secondary structure includes four short double-helical elements and three loops (D, anti-codon, and T loops). The record is from Rfam. NCBI's taxonomy places the organism in Eukaryota, Fungi, Ascomycota, Dothideomycetes, Pleosporales, Lindgomycetaceae.